UACGGGGGGGGCAAGCGUUGUUCGGAAUUACUGGGCGUAAAGGGCUCGUAGGUGGCCAACUAAGUCAGACGUGAAAUCCCUCGGCUUAACCGGGGAACUGCGUCUGAUACUGGAUGGCUUGAGUUCGGGAGAGGGAUGCGGAAUUCCAGGUGUAGCGGUGAAAUGCAUAGAUAUGCCAUAGAACACCAAUUGCGAAGGCAGCUGACUAGACCUGGAUUGACGCUGAGGCACGAAAGCGUGGGGAGCGAACAGG
This 253-nucleotide ribosomal RNA is filed under the name uncultured bacterium. RNAcentral's name for it is "partial 16S ribosomal RNA". It matches the Rfam family "Bacterial small subunit ribosomal RNA", at positions 524 to 776 of the family's 1533-position model. The record is from RNAcentral.